GUAGGUGAACCUGCGGAAGGAUCAUUAAAGAGAACAUGCCCUCCGGGGUAGAUCUCCCACCCUUUGUUUACAUUACCUUUGUUGCUUUGGCAGGCCCGUCUCCGGGCCGCCGGCUUCGGCUGGUCAGCGCCUGCCAGAGGACCCCAAACUCUUAUUAUUAAUGUCGUCUGAGUACUAUAUAAUAGUUAAAACUUUCAACAACGGAUCUCUUGGUUCUG
RNAcentral lists this unclassified non-coding RNA (218 nucleotides) under rhizosphere metagenome. RNAcentral describes it as "partial ribosomal RNA internal transcribed spacer region". The record is from RNAcentral.